This 67-nucleotide transfer RNA is filed under the name unidentified. Its description in RNAcentral is "Cirrothauma sp. FMNH 309245 tRNA-Ser". The record is from RNAcentral.
AAGAGUAAUUAAGAAUAAAAUAAAGCUGCUAACUUUAUUUUGAGCAUUUCAAAUGGUUCUACUCUUU